This is a long non-coding RNA of Manis pentadactyla (Chinese pangolin), 452 nucleotides long. RefSeq lists it as uncharacterized. The record is from RefSeq and is a predicted model, not a curated record. The transcript is spliced from 2 exons. Lineage: Eukaryota; Metazoa; Chordata; Mammalia; Pholidota; Manidae.
GAGCCGGCCGUGGGGAAGAAGGGGAGGGAGGGUCGGCCGGCGGCUAUCAGCUGCUGCAGAUUCUGGGGGUUUUCCUGCCCGUGCUUUGCCCUCCUUUUGCUUGAGCUUCCGCCGGACCGGCACUUCGCGCCCCUCUCUGCCAAACAUAAGACAGCCCGUGAGGCGUGAGGAGUCUUCCCAGUUUUGCAGACGAGGAAACUGAGGCUCAGAGAAGUUAAAUAAACCCCUCACCCACCCCGGCACACAGCAAGUGGGACGUCUACGGGACGAAGGCAAAUGCAGUGUAGCGGUCAGACAGCCUGGGCUUGGCGCCUGGAUCCCCCACUUAGGGACUCUGUCUUCGGACAAGUGACUUAUUCUGCCUGAGGCCCACUUUCUUCAUCUGUAAAAUGGGCUAAUUACUGUAUUAAAUCACAAGAUUUUCUCCAAGGAAGAUUAAUUUAUGUGAAGUG